Molecule: ribosomal RNA, 431 nt
Filed under: uncultured bacterium
Lineage: Bacteria
Description: bacterial SSU rRNA
Rfam family: Bacterial small subunit ribosomal RNA
Source: RNAcentral
GAUGAACGCUGGCGGCGCGCCUAACACAUGCAAGUCGAACGGCACCUGCCCUCGGGCAGAAGCGAGUGGCGAACGGCUGAGUAACACGUGGAGAACCUGCCCCCUCCCCCGGGAUAGCUGCCCGAAAGGACGGGUAAUACCGGAUACCCCCGGGCGCCGCAUGGCGCCCGGGCUAAAGCCCCGACGGGAGGGGAUGGCUCCGCGGCCCAUCAGGUAGACGGCGGGGUGACGGCCCACCGUGCCGACAACGGGUAGCCGGGUUGAGAGACCGACCGGCCAGAUUGGGACUGAGACACGGCCCAGACUCCUACGGGAGGCAGCAGUGGGGAAUCUUGCGCAAUGGGGGGAACCCUGACGCAGCGACGCCGCGUGCGGGACGGAGGCCUUCGGGUCGUAAACCGCUUUUAGCAGGGAAGAGUCAAGACUGUACC